CUGAAGGCGACAUCAUCUGUGUUUUGUCACGAUGGCGACCUCGGGCUCGGCGCGGAAGCGGCUACUCAAAGAGGCAGACAUGAGCACAGUGGAAUUCGAGACCAGCGAGGAGGUGGACGUGACCCCCACGUUCGACACUAUGGGCCUGCGGGAGGACCUGCUGCGCGGCAUCUACGCCUAUGGGUUUGAAAACCCUUCAGCGAUCCAACAGCGAGCUACCAAGCAGAUAAUUAAAGGGAGAGACGUCAUCGCACAGUCUCAGUCUGGCACAGGUAAAACAGCCACCUUCACUAUUUCAGUCCUUCAGUGCUUGGAUACUCAGGUUCGUGAAGCCCAGGCUCUGAUCUUGGUCCCCACGCGAGAGCUGGCCGUGCAGAUCCAGAAGGGCCUGCUUGCUCUCGGCGACUACAUGAACGUCCAGUGCCACGCCUGCAUCGGGGGCACCAAUGUGGGCGAGGACAUCAGGAAGCUGGAUUACGGACAGCACGUCGUCGCAGGCACACCAGGGCGCGUCUUCGAUAUGAUUCGUCGGAGAAGUUUAAGGACACGAGCUAUCAAGAUGUUGGUUUUGGAUGAGGCUGACGAAAUGUUGAAUAAAGGUUUCAAAGACCAGAUUUAUGACGUGUACAGGUACCUGCCUCCGGCCACACAGGUGGUCCUUAUCAGUGCCACGCUGCCCCAGGAAAUCCUGGAAAUGACCACCAAGUUCAUGACGGACCCAAUCCGCAUCCUGCUAAAACGUGAUGAGUUGACUCUGGAAGGCGUCAGACAGUUUUUUGUGGCAGUGGAAAGAGAAGAGUGGAAGUUUGACACCCUGUGUGAUCUCUACGACACACUGACCAUCACGCAGGCGGUCAUCUUCUGUAACACCAGGAGGAAGGUUGACUGGCUGGCAGAGAAGAUGAGAGAAGCCAACUUCACCGUGUGCUCG
This is a non-coding RNA of Microcebus murinus (gray mouse lemur), 931 nucleotides long. NCBI's taxonomy places the organism in Eukaryota, Metazoa, Chordata, Mammalia, Primates, Cheirogaleidae. The record is from RefSeq and is a predicted model, not a curated record.